Molecule: ribosomal RNA, 490 nt
Filed under: uncultured bacterium
Lineage: Bacteria
Description: partial 16S ribosomal RNA
Rfam family: Bacterial small subunit ribosomal RNA
Source: RNAcentral
AUUGAACGCUGGCGGCAGGCCUAACACAUGCAAGUCGAACGGUAACACGAAGAAGCUUGCUUCUUUGCUUACGAGUGGCGGACGGGUGAGUAAUGUCUGGGAAACUGCCUGAUGGAGGGGGAUAACUACUGGAAACGGUAGCUAAUACCGCAUAACGUCUCAAGACCAAAGAGGGGGACCUUCGGGCCGCUUGCCAUCGGAUGUUCCCAGAUGGGAUUAGCUAGUAGGUGGGGUAACGGCUCACCUAGGCGACGAUCCGUAGCUGGUCUGAGAGGAUGACCGGCCACACUGGAACUGAGACACGGUCCAGACUCCUACGGGAGGCAGCAGUGGGGAAUAUUGCACAAUGGGCGCAAGCCUGAUGCAGCCAUGCCGCGUGUAUGAAGAAGGCCUUCGGGUUGUAAAGUACUUUUAGCGGGGAGGAAGGGAGUAAAGUUAAUACCUUUGCUCAUUGACGUUACCCGCAGAAGAAGCACCGGCUAACUCCGUG